Molecule: regulatory RNA element, 54 nt
Organism: Afipia sp. Root123D2
Lineage: Bacteria; Pseudomonadati; Pseudomonadota; Alphaproteobacteria; Hyphomicrobiales; Nitrobacteraceae
Rfam family: terC RNA
Source: Rfam
CGACCAGGCCGGGCCCCUCUGGCAGCCAAGUGGCUGUGAUGUCGGACUGGAAUU